Molecule: transfer RNA, 70 nt
Filed under: Rattus norvegicus (Norway rat)
Lineage: Eukaryota; Metazoa; Chordata; Mammalia; Rodentia; Muridae
Rfam family: tRNA
About the family: Transfer RNA (tRNA) molecules are approximately 80 nucleotides in length. Their secondary structure includes four short double-helical elements and three loops (D, anti-codon, and T loops). Further hydrogen bonds mediate the characteristic L-shaped molecular structure. tRNAs have two regions of fundamental functional importance: the anti-codon, which is responsible for specific mRNA codon recognition, and the 3' end, to which the tRNAs corresponding amino acid is attached (by aminoacyl-tRNA synthetases). tRNAs cope with the degeneracy of the genetic code in two manners: having more than one tRNA (with a specific anti-codon) for a particular amino acid; and 'wobble' base-pairing, i.e. permitting non-standard base-pairing at the 3rd anti-codon position.
Source: Rfam by way of RNAcentral
GGGGAUUUAGCUCAGUGGUAGAGCGCUUGCCUAGCAAAUGCAAGGCCCUGGGUUCGGUCCCCAGCUCCCA